This 910-nucleotide ribosomal RNA is filed under the name uncultured bacterium. Its description in RNAcentral is "bacterial SSU rRNA". It matches the Rfam family "Bacterial small subunit ribosomal RNA", at positions 33 to 911 of the family's 1533-position model. The record is from RNAcentral.
ACGCUGGCGGCGUGCCUAAUACAUGCAAGUCGAGCGAGCUGAAUUCAAAGAUCCCUUCGGGGUGAUUUGUUGGACGCUAGCGGCGGAUGGGUGAGUAACACGUGGGCAAUCUGCCCUAAAGUCUGGGAUACCACUUGGAAACAGGUGCUAAUACCGGAUAACAACAUGAAUCGCAUGAUUCAAGUUUGAAAGGCGGCGUAAGCUGUCACUUUAGGAUGAGCCCGCGGCGCAUUAGCUAGUUGGUGGGGUAAAGGCCUACCAAGGCAAUGAUGCGUAGCCGAGUUGAGAGACUGAUCGGCCACAUUGGGACUGAGACACGGCCCAAACUCCUACGGGAGGCAGCAGUAGGGAAUCUUCCACAAUGGACGCAAGUCUGAUGGAGCAACGCCGCGUGAGUGAAGAAGGUUUUCGGAUCGUAAAGCUCUGUUGUUGGUGAAGAAGGAUAGAGGCAGUAACUGGUCUUUAUUUGACGGUAAUCAACCAGAAAGUCACGGCUAACUACGUGCCAGCAGCCGCGGUAAUACGUAGGUGGCAAGCGUUGUCCGGAUUUAUUGGGCGUAAAGCGAGCGCAGGCGGAAUGAUAAGUCUGAUGUGAAAGCCCACGGCUCAACCGUGGAACUGCAUCGGAAACUGUCAUUCUUGAGUGCAGAAGAGGAGAGUGGAACUCCAUGUGUAGCGGUGGAAUGCGUAGAUAUAUGGAAGAACACCAGUGGCGAAGGCGGCUCUCUGGUCUGCAACUGACGCUGAGGCUCGAAAGCAUGGGUAGCGAACAGGAUUAGAUACCCUGGUAGUCCAUGCCGUAAACGAUGAGCGCUAGGUGUUGGGGACUUUCCGGUCCUCAGUGCCGCAGCAAACGCAUUAAGCGCUCCGCCUGGGGAGUACGACCGCAAGGUUGAAACUCAAAGGAAUU